Small nuclear RNA from Cynocephalus volans (Philippine flying lemur), 108 nucleotides. The record is from RefSeq and is a predicted model, not a curated record. Lineage: Eukaryota; Metazoa; Chordata; Mammalia; Dermoptera; Cynocephalidae.
GAGCUCGCUUGGGCAGCACGUACAGGAACACUUGGAACAAUGCAGAGAAGAGUGGCAUGGCUCCUGCGCAAGGAUGACACGCAAAUUCGUGACGCCUUCCAUAUUUUA